AAAUGAAUGAUAGUAAUGCCUCCUAGCUGAUGUAAAUUUUUGAUAUAUUUCGAUUUGAUUUCAUCUUGUUACAUAUGUAUUUAUAGUGAGAUAUAUAUUGUAAAAUGGAAAAUACCAGCAGAAAUGUUUUGUACCCUCAUCACAUCAAGGCAUUUUCAUCUCAGAACAUUACGGAUUUACACCGACAAUACAAUCCCACUUAAUAAUAAUCACUUGUUAUUUAACUACCAGUAACUGUAAGUUCUCUAAGAUUUUUACUGUGUGUAUUGCUUGUUUCUUUUAUAUUAUAUUAUUGUUGGUAUAUAUACCCUACCA
Molecule: long non-coding RNA, 315 nt
Filed under: Mytilus galloprovincialis (Mediterranean mussel)
Lineage: Eukaryota; Metazoa; Mollusca; Bivalvia; Mytilida; Mytilidae
Source: RNAcentral